Molecule: ribosomal RNA, 1585 nt
Filed under: Triticum aestivum (bread wheat)
Lineage: Eukaryota; Viridiplantae; Streptophyta; Magnoliopsida; Poales; Poaceae
Description: partial small subunit ribosomal RNA
Source: RNAcentral
GUCUAAAAUAGUUAAAUACUAGUAAAUAGUACUGUUAACAGAAUCCAAUGUGCAAAAUCUCAGAAAUAGGAUACGGUGCACGAUCGGUCUGGACCACUGUUCGACCUGUUUUGCAAAUUCAUGCAACUGCAAGGACCUUGAUGCACAAUGUCGAAGGGAUAAGGUUCCUUAUCCUUUGUUUUCAUGUGCGGAUAUGAAAUCCCAAUGGGGAAUUUUUCUAUGCCACAGCAGCCUUUCGAGACAGGCUCGCCGACCGGAGGUGCCUCAGCUUCCGUUGGGUACAACGGGCGCGAGCGCCGCGCGGGGGAAGGGGACCCUCAACGACGGCCUGGAAGGCUGCGCCAUGGCCGGAGGGAGGAGCGACCGCGGCGCGCGCGCUUCAGCCAGCGCCGGCCAGAGGCCGCCAUCAUGCCUUCUGCAAGUGAGGCCUUGGUCGCAGGCGCUGCGUCAGAUGCAGGUGGGCGUUGCUAUGGAGGAACGGCCGGGGGCCUCGUCAUCCGCUGAGAAGCGGCCGCGCCGUCACGGCCCGUCGCGCUCACGCAGUCUGCAGCCGUAGCGCGGACGGAGAGGGCCGACGUGCUUCUUGUCGGCCGUAGGCCGCUCGUGCCGUUCAAAAUCGACAGCGUCGAUCCAUUAAGAGGUAAGAACAUCCCGAAUUGUAGAAGACUACCUGCACGCUUACAGUUCUUGUUUGGAUUUUCAAUCCAUUGAUCAAGGGUGCCUUUUCCAUUCGUCUUUUCCUCCGUUGAUGUCUUUCCGAUGGAAGGUUGCCAACAUUGUCCUGAUUCCAUCCCCACAUGCUCGGAUGAAGCAAUUCUCAACGGCGGUUGCCGGUUGACUCGUCACAGGUCACAGCGAUUAGCGCUAAUUAGCCUGAUCGUGUAGUGACGCCGGCCGCUCGGAAGCCACGCCGCCGGGGCAAGCCAAGGCCGCUCGCCGUUGUUGUUCGAGGGCCGUAGUCGGGGAGGCACCGGGUUCCGCGGGCAGGCGUUUCAGGCGUACAUAACCGCUGCCUGGGAUGGCCUAUUUCUCUCAUCGAAGAGCAAAGGGCUGAUAACGUGUUAAGAGGAAAAUGAAUCAACUCACUCCUUUACUAGAUGGCAUCUGCUAUUUAUACAAGGGAAAGGAUAUCAUUAGAAAAGGUGUCUGUUCAAUUAGAAAAGGUGUCUGUUUAGAGGAGGUGCCUGUUCGCCAGGAACCGACGCGGCCGUUUUACAACUGCCUGCGGUUAGUACAAGCAGGGAUUAAUCCCAUAAUUAACACAUGGUUAAUUAAUUCUAAGGAGGUGUUUGGUUAGAUGAUUUCUGCCCGUCAUCUGAUUACAGCGUGAUCUGAAAACGUUACGCGCGUUUGGUAACGCAGCGCCGUAAUCGGCUUCCAUCGUAAACGAGUCCCGUCACACUUGCGCUCGAUACCGCCCACCCCCCACCGUAACCAAGUUGCGCCCGUCAGGCUGCCCCCUCUGCUUUAUCGAAGCCGCCGGUUAGUGCCACCACUUCCCUCCUUCCAGCCGCCGGAGAUGCCUCCAUGGCCUGCAGCUGCUGGCCGGAUAUCCCUCCAUGGCCUGCAUCUCGGUGAGGAACCC